CCUACGGGAGGCAGCAGUGGGGAAUAUUGGACAAUGGGGGGAACCCUGAUCCAGCGACGCCGCGUGAGUGAAGAAGUAUUUCGGUAUGUAAAGCUCUAUCAGCAGGGAAGAAAAUGACGGUACCUGACUAAGACGCCCCGGCUAACGACGUGCCAGCAGCCGCGGUCAUACGUAGGGGGCAAGCGUUAUCCGGAUUUACUGGGUGUAACGGGAGAGUUGACGGUGCCGAAAGUCUGGUGUGAAAAGUCGGGGCCCAACACCGGGACUGCAUUGGAAACUGUUGAACUGGAGUACAGGAGAGGUCAGCGGAAGUCCUAGUGUAGCGGUGAAAUGCGUAGAUAUUAGGAGGAACACCAGUGGCGAAGGCGGCUUACUGGACUGUAACUGACGUUGAGGCUCGAAAGCGUGGGGAGCAAACAGGAUUAGAUACCCUUGUAGUC
RNAcentral lists this ribosomal RNA (440 nucleotides) under uncultured bacterium. RNAcentral's name for it is "partial 16S ribosomal RNA". It matches the Rfam family "Bacterial small subunit ribosomal RNA", at positions 338 to 795 of the family's 1533-position model. The record is from RNAcentral.